Long non-coding RNA from Belonocnema kinseyi, 276 nucleotides. RefSeq lists it as uncharacterized. NCBI's taxonomy places the organism in Eukaryota, Metazoa, Arthropoda, Insecta, Hymenoptera, Cynipidae. The transcript has 2 exons. The record is from RefSeq and is a predicted model, not a curated record.
UCGGCACUUCAUGAUGUAGAAGCAGUGGCAGAAUGUUGUAUAUUAUUACCAAAAUCAACACACUCUAUUUGCUCGGAAUUUACAAUAAUUUUGAAAAGAUAAUAUUAAUAUAAAACGGUGAUUUACUUCCAGUCUUACCAACCUUCGAAAAUUGUUUUUGUGUUUUGAAAAAUGAAAUCUUUAAAUUUAUCUGCUUGGUUUCAGGAUCUUAUUUUCUACUAUUACGGAUGUCUGGAGCUUUUGAACAAAAACUUUUCCUCAUGAAAUCAAGUGUUA